This 241-nucleotide ribosomal RNA is filed under the name uncultured bacterium. RNAcentral describes it as "partial 16S ribosomal RNA". It matches the Rfam family "Bacterial small subunit ribosomal RNA", at positions 92 to 334 of the family's 1533-position model. The record is from RNAcentral.
CGACCGGCGCACGGGUGAGUAACACGUAUCCAACCUGCCGAUGACUCGGGGAUAGCCUUUCGAAAGAAAGAUUAAUAUCCGAUGGCAUAGUUCUUCCGCAUGGUAGAACUAUUAAAGAAUUUCGGUCAUCGAUGGGGAUGCGUUCCAUUAGGUUGUUGGCGGGGUAACGGCCCACCAAGCCUUCGAUGGAUAGGGGUUCUGAGAGGAAGGUCCCCCACAUUGGAACUGAGACACGGUCCAA